RNAcentral lists this non-coding RNA (253 nucleotides) under uncultured bacterium. RNAcentral describes it as "partial 16S ribosomal RNA". It matches the Rfam family "Bacterial small subunit ribosomal RNA", at positions 524 to 776 of the family's 1533-position model. The record is from RNAcentral. RNAcentral also lists the same sequence under 1 other name.
UACGGAGGGGGCGAGCGUUAUUCGGAAUUAUUGGGCGUAAAGGGCGUGUAGGCGGCUUUGCAUGUCAAAGGUGAAAUCCCUCGGCUCAACCGAGGAACUGCCUUUGAAACUGCAUUGCUUGAGGCCGGGAGGGGCCAGUGGAAUUCCCAGUGUAGCGGUGAAAUGCGUAGAUAUUGGGAGGAACACCAGUGGCGAAGGCGACUGGCUGGACCGGUUCUGACGCUGAUACGCGAAAGCGUGGGGAGCAAACAGG